Molecule: non-coding RNA, 74 nt
Organism: Caenorhabditis brenneri
Lineage: Eukaryota; Metazoa; Nematoda; Chromadorea; Rhabditida; Rhabditidae
Source: the annotation of a GenBank genome assembly
CGCGCGAUGGCCUAGUGGCUAACGCUGAUGUUUUUCAUUUUUGAGGUCGUGGGUUCAACCCCCCACUGGGGUAA